This 897-nucleotide long non-coding RNA is filed under the name Androctonus crassicauda. Lineage: Eukaryota; Metazoa; Arthropoda; Arachnida; Scorpiones; Buthidae. The record is from RNAcentral.
AAGGAGCCCUGUAACAAUCCUUAUUUGAUUUUUAUGCAAUGCAAGCAACUUUUUAGUUCUCUGUAAUGAAGAACCUAAAAUAAGAGUCUUUGCUUACCUUAAUCCAAAAGUGGACCUCCAGAGGGAGAGAUAUUGAGCUGCCAGCUAGUUCCUGAUGAUUUGUUCAAAAUGUAUCAGAUCUGAUGCUCAAAGCAGCUCAAGUCCAAAAAGAGAAAAGAUGCAUCUUCUUUGGCCAACACUCUGUAUCUUAUUGCUGUCAAUCCUUUUGUGUUUUGGCACUCAAACAAGUUGAAUCCAGUUCCUAGUAGUCAAUUCCACAAAUUGGAAACAGAUUUUUCUCUUCUGUUUCUAUCAGGUUGAUUUAUAGUGCAUAAUGAUAAUUUGAGCUUAAACUUAUUUGCAAAAAAACUCAAGUCACCUGCUAAUUUACAAAAUGUUUUUAGCUUAAUGAAUCAAACUGAUUCGAGCCAGUAACUUUACCCAGUACCAUUCAAUCAUUAACACAAUAUGUUGCAUCUUGGUCUAGAUAGAACCUGUUAUCCUUUAGCCAGAUGAAAGAAUUCAGACAUAAACUUUCUAUUGCUGUUGUGUUCUCUAUGAGAAGGAUUCAGAGAAAUUAUAGAAGGGUCAUUAUUAUUAUUAACUUGAGAUUCAGUUUUUCUGCUUUUUGUAUAAUUUUAUUUGAAAUGUUUUCAAAAGUCUUAUUCUUAUCAAAGGCAUUCUUCCAUAGAGAAAUAUGCAAAUACAGUUGUUACCACACACCUUUCAUAUAGAUUUUUGAAAUAUCUUCCCAAGUACAAUUAUAUGGAUGGCAUCAUAAAUAUUACAUUGUUUUCAGAAUUGAGGUAUAUUUAUACCUUUCUCUCUUGCAAUUAUGGCUUUUAUAAAUGUUUUGUG